CUUUUGGAUUUGAUGCCAGCAUCUGCCACUGACUGUUCUGUGUGGAGGACGGAGGACCUGGAAUUGUUCAGGCAGCCCCUUAUUGUGGUCCUUGUGCUAGUGCUUGCUCUUCAGUACGGGGUUUCAGUGGUGCGGGUCAGUAAGCACAUCACUGUUUCACUGGGACUGAGGACUCGUGAGGUGCCAUACAAAAAAUGUUCAGCUACAGAUGCGCUGAAAUCUAAGGCUGUAGGUAACAGUGGACUGCAUGUUCAGCCAUGGAGACCACUCAUUCCCUGCAAUUUUCAGCUAGGAAAAAUCAAAGUAUUUCAAAGCAUGUCCAAUGCAGUCUAAGGUAUAAUAUCGAUCCAAGAGGACUGCAGAGGACUUCACAAGCUGAUGUACUUACUAUACAGAAGAUAAUAGAUAAUAUCACAAUAGUAACUCUAAGUUGAAAUGAAAAGGUCCUACAUGAUUAGCACAUGGAGAAGAUAUCUUUUCUUCUGAAGAGAUCUGAAGCAGGAUAAAAAGUAUAGGAGUUUCACUAUGACAGCCAAUUUAAUUUGUAGUGGCAUUCAUGUUUAACAAAUGAUGAUAGUUGGAAUAAUUUGAUAGAUUUGCAUUGGUAUGAAUAAUUCCUGUACUUGGAAAGUUUUCUUGGGAUACAGUGCUUUCGCUUAAGCACACUCGGCCACUGUAGUUGUGUUGUAAUAAUUGAAGUAGCAAAACUGAAGAUAAGUACUUGAGUGUUUCAAGCUAAUUGGAAAUUUCCCUUUGAUUCUAUUGGAAAUAAUUUUACUUUUUAUCAUUUGACCUGAGUUUUCCAAUUGGAAGUCCUGGCAGCUGCAGUUACUUGCAGCCCUUGGGUUGGUUCACGUUGGGAGGCUUACACAGGCUUCAGAGGCAGAAACUGGUAAGAAUUGCUGGGUUUUGACUUGCAUUGGUACAGAGAAGUGGAUGGUAUUUCUGGGUGUUAUUGGUGUACAAAUAAUAAUACAUUCUGAAAUUAAA
This is a long non-coding RNA of Oxyura jamaicensis (ruddy duck), 990 nucleotides long. RefSeq lists it as uncharacterized. The transcript is spliced from 2 exons. Lineage: Eukaryota; Metazoa; Chordata; Aves; Anseriformes; Anatidae. The record is from RefSeq and is a predicted model, not a curated record.